AAUUGGUAAGCAAGUAGAGGGAGAAAGAUAGAAGCCAACAAGAAUGUGACUUUACUCCACUCCCACUGCUCCACUUGACCAGCCUUAA
This 88-nucleotide small RNA is filed under the name Microcebus murinus (gray mouse lemur). Its description in RNAcentral is "Y RNA (ENSMICG00000025357.3)". Lineage: Eukaryota; Metazoa; Chordata; Mammalia; Primates; Cheirogaleidae. The record is from RNAcentral.